CCUCUCUUGGCUUCACUUAAUCAUACUCAGUGUGUGGCUGGUGUAUUUUCAGAGAGGCUGGCCGUCCUAAUGCACUUCAGACCAGCCUCAAGUGGCCUCUGUUCCCAGGGGUCCAGCAGCU
Suricata suricatta (meerkat) is the source of this 121-nucleotide small nucleolar RNA. The record is from Ensembl. Lineage: Eukaryota; Metazoa; Chordata; Mammalia; Carnivora; Herpestidae.